UCUCUAUAAAUUACAAUUUCUCUCUCUUUAUAUUCAUUUUCUAGUCAAAAGUCUUAAAAUAAUUUAUACAAAUAGGAGAAAACACACACACUCAAAUUAAGGUGCUAGGUUGUAUUUAAAAAAAUAGAUUUUUUUCAUAACAUCUGUAUUGCUUAUAGAAUAUUAUUGACAGUAUUCGUAGCUAUUUCUUUAGUAGAGAUAAGUAUUUGUCAAAAUUAAAAUUGAUAAAAUUAUAUUUAAGAUCGAUUGUGUCAAAUGAAAAAGAUUAAGUGGAUUAACAAUAUUUUUAGUUGAAAAUGACAAGUUAAGAAAACUAGAUUAUAAAAGCUUAAUUGAUAAUUU
RNAcentral lists this long non-coding RNA (342 nucleotides) under Actinidia chinensis (golden kiwifruit). Its description in RNAcentral is "long non-coding RNA (ACHI_LNC005727)". The record is from RNAcentral. Lineage: Eukaryota; Viridiplantae; Streptophyta; Magnoliopsida; Ericales; Actinidiaceae.